GACGAACGCUGGCGGCGUGCUUAACACAUGCAAGUCGAACGGUAAGGCCCUUUCGGGGGUACACGAGUGGCGAACGGGUGAGUAACACGUGGGUGAUCUGCCCUGCACUUUGGGAUAAGCCUGGGAAACUGGGUCUAAUACCGGAUAGGACUACGCGAUGCAUGUCGUGUGGUGGAAAGCUUUUGCGGUGUGGGAUGGGCCCGCGGCCUAUCAGCUUGUUGGUGGGGUGAUGGCCUACCAAGGCGACGACGGGUAGCCGGCCUGAGAGGGUGUCCGGCCACACUGGGACUGAGAGACGGCCCAGACUCCUACGGGAGGCAGCAGUGGGGAAUAUUGCACAAUGGGCGCAAGCCUGAUGCAGCGACGCCGCGUGGGGGAUGACGGCCUUCGGGUUGUAAACCCCUUUCAGCACAGACGAAGCGUAAGUGACGGUAUGUGCAGAAGAAGCACCGGCCAACUACGU
This 463-nucleotide ribosomal RNA is filed under the name uncultured bacterium. Its description in RNAcentral is "partial 16S ribosomal RNA". It matches the Rfam family "Bacterial small subunit ribosomal RNA", at positions 28 to 506 of the family's 1533-position model. The record is from RNAcentral.